CUCCCACGCUGUUAUUUCUGGUGUAAGAGAUGGAAAGUUCCUGCACUGAGGUUGCUCCCCUCCUCACACCGACUCCUCUUUCCCAUCUCUGCACGCUGCCACCCUCCUGCGGGCAGUCCAGCCCUGCUUCGACUCCGCAGUCCUGUCGGAUCGCUAGAGAAUGGAUCAGGCUGGAGAGGAGCCUUGGAGGUCUCUGCUCCCAGCCCUGCUCACCCCACGGCUAACUUCAAAGUUGGAUAGGCUUGCCCAGGAGGGAGCAAUCUCCAAGGGUGGAGAUUUCGCAGCCUCUCGGGGCACGUGAUGCAACGCAGUUACCCUGUCACGGUGAAACUAUCUUUCCUGGUAUCCCUUUCCUAGACAAAUUUCAUCUUUUAGUCCCAUCAUUGCUUUUCCGUUGCAUCCCCACCUCCGAACCCCUGGUCAACGUACAAAGGCCUAAGCCUACAAGCACGCUCAACUUCAGCACUAAAGGGACCUACACACCCACCUUUCCCUAAAAUCAGUGGGAGCUUAAUCUAAGGCUCUGUACCAGAAUGCUUCUUAAAUGUAUUUGAAACUGGGCUGUGUUGCUUUGGUACUCUGCAGUACAGGCCUAACGAGGCGACAAGGAUUCUGGCGGAGACUUCUAGCUACCAACAAACGGUGAGGAGUUACUUAGCUGUAGUAUCUUGACCGUGUUCCUUUUAGGGAUCAGUUGAGUUUUCAGUCAACUUCAGUUUUCCUCUAACUUCUUCUGCCAAUGCCAACAUCUCUCUUGUUAAAUUAGCAGCAACCAUUUAAAGUCUUUUCAGCAGCAUCUGCAUGAUAAUUGCACAGAGAUGCUUUAUAUCUGGGAAAUAAGCCAAGGAAUAAACCUCGAAGCAAAGUGUAUUAAAUUAGUUAUCUCGUUAUAGCUUUUUGAAUAAUUUCCUAAUGAUGAAUUAAGUUUGAGCUCAGAGCUGUCAAGUCCCAUUGCUCCGCUCGGAUGUGAGAAGUAGAAAAUCAGGAGGGAAAAGGAUCUCUUCCUAUGUCUUAUUAUUCAGCUCUUCUUGGCUGAAACGUAUACUUCUGUUUCUACAGCGAGCACAGGAAAGUUACUGCAUAAGAGAACGUAAAGAGCUGUGUUUGAAAGGAAGAAAAUUAAGCAAAUGUUUUUUAUGCAAAGAUGCAUCAUAGGUGUCUUAGAAAAAUAUUAAUUACAAAAUGGCACCAAAAAUCCUUUCCAAAUUAAGUCAGUGCCUAUUAAUGAGCCAAGUAUGUGGCCACAUAGUAAACAGUCAUUUCCAAUUAACUCCUAAAGUGGCUGCUAUGGUAGAUAGAGGCCAAUGUGACUCACUUUUUCCCUUUCAUUGUCAAAGAAUGGUAAUUUUAAACUUUUCCUUUCAUCUGACUUCAAUGUAUUUUUCCUGCUAGAUUUUAUCUUGACCAGAUCUGCUAAUAUCAUAAGUGAAUUGGGCUGGUGCACAUCUUCAGAGGUUCCUUUCCACCUCAGCUUGCAACCAAACCGCAGCAUGCCGACAUUUUACGAUUAAAAUGUGAUACAGUUUUGUAGGGGAAAAACUGAACCGUCUGACUUUUGAACCUGUUGUCGUUUUAUCGGGCCUAAAUUGCUUGGGCAGUAUUUCCUAACCUUUAGGGAGUGACAGGAAAAUACAUUUUGCAUCCAAUUUCAUCAGGAAUGAACACGAGACUUAAAGCAACAGUACUGUUUAGUUUGUGUCCCGCAGGCUUUAACAGCGGAGUCCUUAAGCAGAAAAGGAGGACAGCCUGGGGUUGCUGUCUGUUGUGUCGCGUGGUUUUUUUAACAUCAAAGCAUGACAGUGGGUAGGUUCUAAGAGACCAGUUUCAUCCAUUCGGAGUAAAGUCUGGAUUGAAAAUCUUGCAAAGAUGCAUAGUCAAUGAAUGGAGCUGCACCUUAAACAGUUUGACACAAGCAGUCUUCUCCCAAGGCACCCGUGUUGCAGUCUGGCACGUUUAGCCUACGCUCCCUGAUUCUUUCAAAGAGAGAACUUGGAGUGGGUAAGCAAGUCUGACUUGGGAAUCCAUUGUGUAUGUUUUCCUUUUUGUGCACUCUUAAUCUGUAUUUAAAUUUGCAAUUUAACACCCUCUUUUUUUUUUUUUCUUUUUCUUUUCUCUAAACUCUUAACAAUGAUAGUAUCGAGGUUGCUGGCAUCAAAUUUUUGGUUAAAGUUACGGUCUGAGCAUUGUCCGACCAGGGAUGGGAGAGAUGACAGCCGAGUUCUGACGCUGCUCAGUGCUGUGGACGUCCUGUUUCCUUCCAUCCUCCACAGGCCGCACUGGAGGAUGGUGGUCGUUAGCUGCUCAGGUCCUACUCGUUCCAGCUCCUCCACAGGCCUGCUUUGGCGCCUCUUGUCCUUGAUUACCUGAGGAAAGAUGAAGCUUGACCCCACAAACUUUCUCCUAUAUAGGUAUAUAGGGACCCUAAAUGCUCAGCCUUAUUGGAAAUACCUUUUCCCUAAACUAGUUUCAGCUGGCAGGAGACACAUCUGUGAGAAUUUAUUCAACCCAUUGCUAAUGCAGUCCUUUAUAAAAAGUUAUAUUGCAGGGCAUUUCUGUUCCACUUAUUUAAAUCAGUUGCCUCAGCUACAAGUAUUACUAAAUAUUUGCAUGAUUUCAAGAGCUUUUAUUUUUUAUUUAAUUACUUUCUUGUAAACAGACAGAAAUGCAAAUGGAAAAACAUAGGUUGGAAAAGAAUGAGUAAGUCUCAGUGCUUUAAUAGAGAUGGCCAUUUUAAGCUAAUAAUUAUUUUUUGAUCCAAUACUUGCUAUGUCUGUGCAGCCCACAAGCGACUCUAAAAUAAAUGCUGAUGGGCAAUCUCCUGCUUGGAUAUAGCACACAAAUCUAUGGGGAAAAUUCAGCCGCUACUGAGCAUGCUGCAUUCUCAACAGCCGAGCUCCCACUGGUCUCCUGGGAGGAGAUGAUGGCUGAAUGAGCUGCUGUCAGUCCCACGAACAGUUUGUGAACUGUGUGCUCAGGAAGUGGGAGCAUCAGUAUGGCCGGUAUCUGCCGUAGCAGCUCUCGUGCACCACUGAGAGAGGUCGGAGUUAAAUUUCUGCUGCUUGUCUUUAUGGAAAAGAAUGCCGUACAGCCAGAGAGCUGAGGUGGCACCCACUGCAUGAAAUAAAGGAUGCGUCAUAUUGAAGGAGCGAAUACCCAGAACUGACCUGGAAAGGGAAGCACUGCAUGAAAACAUCAUUUGUCCACCCCUCUAUAAAAAUGGAUGUAAAUCUGCUGGUGUAUAGUCCUAGUCACAUGGAGUUUGGAGAUGGGUUUUGAUGCCAACAAGAGAAAGGUUGCAAGUGCAAAACCCUGAAGGCAAUUGUCCCCAUCUUGUUCUUAGCCUUCUAGAAAGGUUUUCUUGUAGAAUCUGCUGCUAUGGGAACUACAGAUGCUGUCCGAGUCUUUAGAGGAGGACAUGACGCGUGCAGCUGCGUGUAGCCUUGGCUUGCAGGGAUUGUGAUUUGAGGAAGGAACAGCUGGCUGCUUGGGCUGUUGGCCGAAUAACAGAAGAUGGAGGUCUUAGCCAUAAACUAUUGUUAGAUUGUGAAACAAAACACUUAGCGCACAGGUCAGAAAUAGCAGUGUUUAUAUAGAAAAUAUUUAAAAGUAAGUAAAUUUUGUCAGCGUUUUUAGAGUAUCUUACACUGCAAUUCCCUUGGAUCCUCUCGGCCAUUUUUCGGUUGGUGGUUUUUUUUCAGCGUGUUAAGUUUUGAUGCCCGUGCGUUGUGUGCACCCUCGCUGCGAGUUUCGCACGUGCUACAGCAGCAGGACUUUGCCUUUGGAGGGUGAACGGGAAGUCAGCGGGAACAUAGCAGCUUUGGCUGAAGAAUCCCAGCACUAUUUAACAGCAAGGGAAAGACUAAUACUUCAGCUGAUCCCUGAAAUGACUAUAGAGCUCGAUCGUUUUUGCUCUUCCACAUCACGGGGGUAAGGACUCAGUGUUUUGGACACUCAGCUCCAGAUAUUUCAGGGGCAGUGUUCCCUGAUGAGGAAGGCUUCUACAAAACACUUCCAUGGCAGGCUAGAGGUUGCACCCUGUCUUGGACAGCGGCUGGUAGCUGAUGCUUAAGGAAGAGAGAUGAAUGUGUCUAGAGGAGGGUGCUCAGCCCCUCUAGCACACCUGGCAACCGGGCCUUCGGGGGCUUCCCGAGGUGAAAGUUAUAUCCCGCUCACUGUGAUGGAUCCAUCUUCCAUGAAUCACGUUACCUUCUCUUUAAAACCCAUUUAUUCCUCCGGCCUUCACAACGCCCUGUGUUGGUGAGUUCCACAACUUAACGUACAUUACGUCUAUAAGAACUUCCUUUUAGUGUAUGUGAAAUAGAAGUAUGUUCUCGCUGCUACUCGGUCCUUAAAAGAAAACAGACCUUUAGUGCCAGAGACACUGUUAAUAGGAUGUGUAUCCUGUUGAGAUUGCUCCGUAUGGAAAACAUGUUUUCCUCAUUAGUAAAGUACCUUUCUUUGGCUAUUUUACAAAGGAAAAAAGUUUACACAUGCAGAUGACUGUAAUACUCCCAUAUAUAAUUGUGUGGGACGCGUUAAAUGAAAUAACAUGUUUAAGUAAGUUUUAUGUCACUGGAUUUUACUGUCCUGUUUUACUUCAGUAUUUUGAUGCUUCCUGUUGUAUUUGUUCUGUAAUUCUGUACAUGACAGUUCAGCACAAAACAGUGAUCUGACUCUCACGACCUCAUUGUAUGUACACAUUUUGUAGAGAAAGGAGACAUCAGUUCUAUGCCCUUCCUGCCCCCCACUCCCUCCUGUUAGGGCUGAAUGGCAGAACUAUUCUAUGCUAUUGAAAGCCUUUAAAAAAAUAAAUCUAUGCAUGCUAUUUUAUAUUCUAAUGUAUUAUUCAUAUCAGUACAUAAGCUUAUGCUUGUCAGUUUUAUCUUGUGUAUAGAACUGAUUACUUUUGACAGUAUUUUUGCACUGUUUCUUUUCUUUCUCUUUUUAUAAAGUUCUAUUCAGCAUUAAUUGACUGCAAUAAUUUUUUUACCCCUUUCACUGCCUUUUUGUGUAAAUAGUUUCUUAUAUGCUUUUGCAACUACGAGAACGUCUUCAGUCACUAAGGUUUUUUGGUAAGGCUGUCCUUCAUAUUCACAGUAUAAAAUAAACCAUUUUUUUCAAG
Molecule: long non-coding RNA, 5122 nt
Organism: Aptenodytes forsteri (emperor penguin)
Lineage: Eukaryota; Metazoa; Chordata; Aves; Sphenisciformes; Spheniscidae
Exons: 2
Source: RefSeq, a predicted model, not a curated record